UUUAGGUUGUGAUAUUCCAAUCAGCUAGAUAUUGGUAGUAUAGAGUACAGACUUGGCCAAGGGCUAUAUUCAGAAGGAAAAAAAAUUAUCCGUGGUUUUCCAUUGGCAGUAGCAAUUCUUUUAUCAAUAACAUGAUUGGAAGGUCUGCUGGGAAAAUAAAAGUUUCGAUUUUAGAUACUUGUGACUUCUUGCUACCUGGCACAACUUAUAACUUUAUUAGUAAUGCUCUAGAUUCUGCUGGUGGUGGCAUUGGGUCCAUGAUAAGGUAGAUGAAACUUUUCAUUACUACAUUGGUGUCAAAAUUCUGAAAUACACCACCAGGUCCUCAUACUGACUGUUUAUGUGAACAAACUGUCUAAGAUCUUGGAGUGAGUCAAUGAUUACACUGCAUUGAUCAUUGAACAAUUCUUAAAAUACAUCUACAGUAGAGGCAAUACUUU
Setaria italica (foxtail millet) is the source of this 440-nucleotide long non-coding RNA. RefSeq lists it as uncharacterized. The record is from RefSeq and is a predicted model, not a curated record. Lineage: Eukaryota; Viridiplantae; Streptophyta; Magnoliopsida; Poales; Poaceae. The transcript has 3 exons.